Molecule: ribosomal RNA, 507 nt
Filed under: uncultured bacterium
Lineage: Bacteria
Description: partial 16S ribosomal RNA
Rfam family: Bacterial small subunit ribosomal RNA
Source: RNAcentral
GACGAACGCUGGCGGCGUGCCUAAUACAUGCAAGUCGAACGCAUUUUCUUUCACCGUAGCUUGCUACACCGAAAGAAAGUGAGUGGCGAACGGGUGAGUAACACGUUGGUAACCUGCCCAUCAGCGGGGGAUAACACUUGGAAACAGGUGCUAAUACCGCAUAAUUCCAUUUACCGCAUGGUAGAUGGAUGAAAGGCGCUUUUGCGUCACUGAUGGAUGGACCCGCGGUGCAUUAGCUAGUUGGUGGGGUAACGGCCUACCAAGGCUGCGAUGCAUAGCCGACCUGAGAGGGUGAUCGGCCACACUGGGACUGAGACACGGCCCAGACUCCUACGGGAGGCAGCAGUAGGGAAUCGUCGGCAAUGGACGCAAGUCUGACCGAGCAACGCCGCGUGAGUGAAGAAGGGUUUCGGAUUGUAAAACUCUGUUGUUAGAGAAGAACAAGGAUGAGAGUGGAAAGUUCAUCCCUUGACGGUAUCUAACCAGAAAGCCACGGCUAACUACGUG